RNAcentral lists this ribosomal RNA (2918 nucleotides) under Pseudomonas avellanae. RNAcentral's name for it is "bacterial LSU rRNA". It matches the Rfam family "Bacterial large subunit ribosomal RNA". The record is from RNAcentral. Lineage: Bacteria; Pseudomonadati; Pseudomonadota; Gammaproteobacteria; Pseudomonadales; Pseudomonadaceae.
GUUAUAUGGUCAAGUGAAGAAGCGCAUACGGUGGAUGCCUUGGCAGUCAGAGGCGAUGAAAGACGUGGUAGCCUGCGAAAAGCUUCGGGGAGUCGGCAAACAGACUGUGAUCCGGAGAUGUCUGAAUGGGGGAACCCAGCCAUCAUAAGAUGGUUAUCUUACACUGAAUACAUAGGUGUAAGAGGCGAACCAGGGGAACUGAAACAUCUAAGUACCCUGAGGAAAAGAAAUCAACCGAGAUUCCCUUAGUAGUGGCGAGCGAACGGGGACCAGCCCUUAAGUUGUAUUGAGAUUAGCGGAACGCUCUGGAAAGUGCGGCCAUAGUGGGUGAUAGCCCUGUACGCGAAAAUCCCUUUGCAAUGAAAUCGAGUAGGACGGGGCACGAGAAACCUUGUCUGAAUAUGGGGGGACCAUCCUCCAAGGCUAAAUACUACUGACUGACCGAUAGUGAACCAGUACCGUGAGGGAAAGGCGAAAAGAACCGCGGAGAGCGGAGUGAAAUAGAUCCUGAAACCGUAUGCGUACAAGCAGUGGGAGCCCACUUUGUUGGGUGACUGCGUACCUUUUGUAUAAUGGGUCAGCGACUUAUUUUCAGUGGCGAGCUUAACCGAAUAGGGGAGGCGUAGCGAAAGCGAGUCUUAAUAGGGCGUCUAGUCGCUGGGAAUAGACCCGAAACCGGGCGAUCUAUCCAUGGGCAGGUUGAAGGUUGGGUAACACUAACUGGAGGACCGAACCGACUACCGUUGAAAAGUUAGCGGAUGACCUGUGGAUCGGAGUGAAAGGCUAAUCAAGCUCGGAGAUAGCUGGUUCUCCUCGAAAGCUAUUUAGGUAGCGCCUCAUGUAUCACUGUAGGGGGUAGAGCACUGUUUCGGCUAGGGGGUCAUCCCGACUUACCAAACCGAUGCAAACUCCGAAUACCUACAAGUGCCGAGCAUGGGAGACACACGGCGGGUGCUAACGUCCGUCGUGAAAAGGGAAACAACCCAGACCGUCAGCUAAGGUCCCAAAGUCAUGGUUAAGUGGGAAACGAUGUGGGAAGGCUUAGACAGCUAGGAGGUUGGCUUAGAAGCAGCCACCCUUUAAAGAAAGCGUAAUAGCUCACUAGUCGAGUCGGCCUGCGCGGAAGAUGUAACGGGGCUCAAACCAUGCACCGAAGCUACGGGUAUCAUCUUAUGAUGAUGCGGUAGAGGAGCGUUCUGUAAGCCUGUGAAGGUGAGUUGAGAAGCUUGCUGGAGGUAUCAGAAGUGCGAAUGCUGACAUGAGUAACGACAAUGGGUGUGAAAAACACCCACGCCGAAAGACCAAGGUUUCCUGCGCAACGUUAAUCGACGCAGGGUUAGUCGGUCCCUAAGGCGAGGCUGAAAAGCGUAGUCGAUGGAAAACAGGUUAAUAUUCCUGUACUUCUGGUUAUUGCGAUGGAGGGACGGAGAAGGCUAGGCCAGCCUGGCGUUGGUAGUCCAGGUUUAAGGUGGUAGGCUGAGAUCUUAGGUAAAUCCGGGAUCUUAAGGCCGAGAGCUGAUGACGAGUGUUCUUUUAGAACAUGAAGUGGUUGAUGCCAUGCUUCCAAGAAAAGCUUCUAAGCUUCAGGUAACCAGGAACCGUACCCCAAACCGACACAGGUGGUUGGGUAGAGAAUACCAAGGCGCUUGAGAGAACUCGGGUGAAGGAACUAGGCAAAAUGGCACCGUAACUUCGGGAGAAGGUGCGCCGGUGAGGGUGAAGCAUUUACUGCGUAAGCCGACGCCGGUCGAAGAUACCAGGCCGCUGCGACUGUUUAUUAAAAACACAGCACUCUGCAAACACGAAAGUGGACGUAUAGGGUGUGACGCCUGCCCGGUGCCGGAAGGUUAAUUGAUGGGGUUAGCGCAAGCGAAGCUCUUGAUCGAAGCCCCGGUAAACGGCGGCCGUAACUAUAACGGUCCUAAGGUAGCGAAAUUCCUUGUCGGGUAAGUUCCGACCUGCACGAAUGGCGUAACGAUGGCGGCGCUGUCUCCACCCGAGACUCAGUGAAAUUGAAAUCGCUGUGAAGAUGCAGUGUAUCCGCGGCUAGACGGAAAGACCCCGUGAACCUUUACUAUAGCUUUGCACUGGACUUUGAAUUUGCUUGUGUAGGAUAGGUGGGAGGCUUUGAAGCGUGGACGCCAGUCUGCGUGGAGCCAACCUUGAAAUACCACCCUGGCAACUUUGAGGUUCUAACUCAGGUCCGUUAUCCGGAUCGAGGACAGUGUAUGGUGGGUAGUUUGACUGGGGCGGUCUCCUCCUAAAGAGUAACGGAGGAGUACGAAGGUGCGCUCAGACCGGUCGGAAAUCGGUCGUAGAGUAUAAAGGCAAAAGCGCGCUUGACUGCGAGACAGACACGUCGAGCAGGUACGAAAGUAGGUCUUAGUGAUCCGGUGGUUCUGUAUGGAAGGGCCAUCGCUCAACGGAUAAAAGGUACUCCGGGGAUAACAGGCUGAUACCGCCCAAGAGUUCAUAUCGACGGCGGUGUUUGGCACCUCGAUGUCGGCUCAUCACAUCCUGGGGCUGAAGCCGGUCCCAAGGGUAUGGCUGUUCGCCAUUUAAAGUGGUACGCGAGCUGGGUUUAGAACGUCGUGAGACAGUUCGGUCCCUAUCUGCCGUGGACGUUUGAGAUUUGAGAGGGGCUGCUCCUAGUACGAGAGGACCGGAGUGGACGAACCUCUGGUGUUCCGGUUGUCACGCCAGUGGCAUUGCCGGGUAGCUAUGUUCGGAAAAGAUAACCGCUGAAAGCAUCUAAGCGGGAAACUUGCCUCAAGAUGAGAUCUCACUGGAACCUUGAGUUCCCUGAAGGGCCGUCGAAGACUACGACGUUGAUAGGUUGGGUGUGUAAGCGCUGUGAGGCGUUGAGCUAACCAAUACUAAUUGCCCGUGAGGCUUGACCAUAUAACACCCAAGCAAUU